Molecule: non-coding RNA, 504 nt
Organism: Callithrix jacchus (white-tufted-ear marmoset)
Lineage: Eukaryota; Metazoa; Chordata; Mammalia; Primates; Cebidae
Source: RefSeq, a predicted model, not a curated record
UAUGUGUUAAUUUGCAAAAAUCUUAUAUGAUUAUUUAUUAAAAUCUUAAGCAUUUUGUAGACAUUGGUCAGAUCUCCCUAAAUGAAGAAGUUAUUACCUAGAUAGUCUGGUACACAUAGUCUAUUAUCUCAUUAGUUUUUGCUAUAGAAAUGUGAGGAACUGAACUGAUAGAGAUAUUGUGAUUUAUUAAGAAAACACAAUAAAAGAUGGUGAGAGGAUGCUAAUUUACAACAUGCCACCUCUGCUAUAUAGAAUUGUAGGACCAGAUUUUCAUCAUGAAAACUCUCUAAGAGUCUUGCUGUAUCACCCAAACUUAAAGUGCAGUGGUACAAUCUCGGCUCACUGCAACCUCCAGCUCCUGGGUUCCAGCGAUUCUCCUGCCUCAGCCUCUCAGGACAAGGUGACAACGGGUCUCCCUAUACAGGCAGUCAAAGCAAUUUGAGGAAAACACAUUGUAGCAAGAUGAUGAUGUUUUCCGUGAAAACAAUAAAGUGACUAAGAUCC